Trypanosoma brucei brucei TREU927 is the source of this 74-nucleotide small nucleolar RNA. The record is from RefSeq and is a predicted model, not a curated record. NCBI's taxonomy places the organism in Eukaryota, Euglenozoa, Kinetoplastea, Trypanosomatida, Trypanosomatidae.
CACGGUGAUGUUCAAUACAAUAACUGAUGUAAUGAGACCUAGUGGAAUACUGCGGACACUUCUUGUUCUGAGCG